RNAcentral lists this ribosomal RNA (312 nucleotides) under uncultured prokaryote. RNAcentral's name for it is "bacterial SSU rRNA". It matches the Rfam family "Bacterial small subunit ribosomal RNA", at positions 505 to 816 of the family's 1533-position model. The record is from RNAcentral.
GUGCCAGCAGCCGCGGUAAUACGUAGGUGGCAAGCGUUGUCCGGAUUUAUUGGGCGUAAAGCGAGCGCAGGCGGUUUCUUAAGUCUGAUGUGAAAGCCCCCGGCUCAACCGGGGAGGGUCAUUGGAAACUGGGAGACUUGAGUGCAGAAGAGGAGAGUGGAAUUCCAUGUGUAGCGGUGAAAUGCGUAGAUAUAUGGAGGAACACCAGUGGCGAAGGCGGCUCUCUGGUCUGUAACUGACGCUGAGGAGCGAAAGCGUGGGGAGCGAACAGGAUUAGAAACCCCCGUAGUCCAUUAGAUACCCGGGUAGUCC